This 63-nucleotide small nucleolar RNA is filed under the name Euglena gracilis. RNAcentral's name for it is "Eg-m43.1". The record is from RNAcentral. Lineage: Eukaryota; Euglenozoa; Euglenophyceae; Euglenales; Euglenaceae.
CGAUGACCAACCUUUGCUCCUUAGACUGCUGAUUCCUGUGAUGCAGUUCCGUCGAGUCUGACU